This 205-nucleotide long non-coding RNA is filed under the name Coffea arabica (coffee). Its description in RNAcentral is "long non-coding RNA (CARA_LNC001238)". The record is from RNAcentral. Lineage: Eukaryota; Viridiplantae; Streptophyta; Magnoliopsida; Gentianales; Rubiaceae.
UGAACUUGAGUUCCUUCCUUUUCUAUAGCUUCGAUAGAAUCACGAUCGUCCACCGUUUCAAUUUCGAUAUCUUCUUCAGUACGAGUUGCCGAUAAGGAUUUCGAAGCUUUGGGCGGCGUCUUCUUCGCUGGAACCGCUGGUUGCGCCUCUUUGAUGGCCUGCCGAGAGUCCUUGGAAGACUUAUUUUUUGUAGCAAUAUUUUUCG